UCUUACAAUCCCACAGCACUGUGUACAAGGAGGACCUGUGGGCUGGGUGGGGACAAUGGUGAGAAGCCACGAUUCUUGGAUUCUAAGAGUUCGUAAGUUCAAGUUUCAGAGAUUCCACAACUCUUAGAGUCCACAAUUCUAAAUUCUUAAGUGAUUUUAUGAUGUCAUCAGCCUUGGGCUUUCUAAGAUCCUGAGUUUCCAUGAAGUCCUAAGCUUGGCAGUGUAGACCCCAUAGUCUCAAACACUUCAGGGUCUGAGAACUCUCUGCUUUGUGACUGAGAACUGGACAGACUCAGGGUGGUGGCGGCUCCCAGACCCAUCUAGACCUGGAGCACGAGCUGCUACCCUGCAGAGGCUGGUCAGCCCGGCUCCAUGCCGCAGACCCAGGGCCCUCACUCAAGGAGGCUCUGCCUCAUCCUGGGGCUCCCCAGCUGGCCUGGUCCCUGCCUAUUCCCCCAAACCCUGACUCCUUGGGUCCUAGAGGCUUCCCAAACCCUGACAGACACUGCUGGGGAAGAGACAGAGGCAGCUGCACACAGAAGGUGGCUCGAGGGACAGGGGAGUGUUCUUGGCCACAGGGUUCUGGGAUCUCCCUCUUGAUGUCAGAAAAUCCCAGGUCUCCAGGAUCUCAGGAUCUACUCCAGAAGAGCUCCUAGCAGAGUAUCUAGAAAAUGCAGAUUUCCAGAGAUGGCUGCCUAGACCUGAACAAAGUGUAAACACAAUGCAAGUGCCUCUCUGCCAGCCUCAAACACCACUGGGUCUCCAGCGUCCCUAAAGGAGGGGACGGCCAUCAAAGGAAUGAAUGGACUGGGAACCGGUUUCAAAGCGGGAAGGGGGACCUGGGUCGUUCGUGAAAAAAGCCGCUUUUCAGAGCCAGACAGAGGGUAGGUUUUCAGAAGUCUGAAAACCAAGCAUCCCGUCCCUCGCCCACCUGCCAGGUGCUGGCCUGACAUGGAACUUUCCUACUCCUGCGAGUACAGGCAACCUGUCCUCCCCAGUGUUUGCCUCGCUGCCUUAACCUCCCCCCCCAAUUUCCCUAAUCCUGCAGUUGUGUGCAUUUUCCUUUAAAUAAAGUUCUAAAAAUGUGCCCAGUUCAUUUGAAACUCCUCCAUGACUGAGGAUGGAAAGGAGAUACUUCUGCUCACCUGCGCCUCCUCGAAGAGGGGAGAACCAGCCACCUGCAGGGGAAGCUCUUGCCUGCCCCAACCCCCCGCCCCACUCCCAGGUGGGGCAGAACCAUGCUUUCCGCCCCCGAGGCGUACUUCUUGGCUGGGACCCUGUGGCCGCCUCUGAGAGAUAGAUUUCCCUGCUCAUUCCUGCUCUGGCCAGAGUGGGUGGGAGUGGGUGGUUUGGCCGCCUCCAGGCAGGAAAAGGAACUGUGCCUUGAAUUUCACUUUCCAAGAGUCAGAGUUUGACAGCGCUGGCUUGGCAGGUGGACAUGUGGGCCGGCUGGGUUCCCUGGGGAGGGGAACCGGGAGCCCAGAACUUGAUUUCUUCCACAGACCACACAGCAGCCUCUGGCCAGAGUGCUUCUGAUCAUUAAUCGUUUGCAACUUGAGCUCUGAGACAUCCGCACAGAGCUUGGCACCGGGCGCCCCGGCCUUCGCUGCCACCCACCCCCCAGCUCACUAGAGGUGCCAAAGAAGCCCAUUCCCGACAGUCUGCUUUUGCCAGGGCCGUAGGGCAGGGCAACUGGGCAUCUGAAAGUUUCUGGGGAAGGUGGGAGGUAGGAAGGGGCCUGAGGUUUGGGGGGAGGCCUAAUCCCACUCCCAAGACAGGGAUGAGAAAAACUUCAGUGGCUUCUCUCCCCUGUUCUUCCUGAAAUCUUAGUGCCAGGGAGGAAACAGGGCGGAGGUGGGGCCGGAAGAUCCCAGGGGAAUAAGCAUCAGGUCGUGUGACCUAGAGCAAGUCAAUCUCUGCACCUCAGUUUCCUCAUCUGUUCAGUGGGGGGUAAUAUCCACCUAGCAGGCAGGAUUGUGGGAGGAUUUAAAUCAGGUAAUGCGUGACUAGUCAGCGCCUGGGGCAUAGUGAGCACAUAAUCGAUGCCACCUGGUAUCGACACAAUUAUAACACAGAGAGUGGUGGAAUGCCAGGCUGGCGGUCUUUGAGCUGACAUCCCAUCCUUCUCUGACUUUACCCAGCUGCUGCGGCCUCCCUUGGAGGAGACAGGGGUGUAUCUGGAUUCAAUCCCCCCACCCCGUGCCAAUGCUGACGAGCUGUGCAACUCUGGGCAAGGGUUAUCCCUCAGAUGCGUCUAUUUGUCCAUCCGUAAAGCGGGCUCAACCGUACUUCCCGCAAGAGAUCGCCCUCAUAAGGGGCUGGGCGUGGUGCGACACAGAGUGGCUCUCAGGGGACGCGGUUCUGCUUCCCCAGGCUGCCCCAGGAGUGUGCCCAGCAAGCCCUCUGCAGUGAGCGGUGGCCCGGCUGAGU
Molecule: non-coding RNA, 2430 nt
Organism: Microcebus murinus (gray mouse lemur)
Lineage: Eukaryota; Metazoa; Chordata; Mammalia; Primates; Cheirogaleidae
Source: RefSeq, a predicted model, not a curated record